Homo sapiens (human) is the source of this 1808-nucleotide long non-coding RNA. NCBI's taxonomy places the organism in Eukaryota, Metazoa, Chordata, Mammalia, Primates, Hominidae. The record is from Ensembl.
ACUUAUUACACUGUAUUGGAAUCGCUUCUUUUCUCUUUCUCUGUGAAUUUCUUGAGAGCACAGACUACAUUCUGCUUAACUUUUUAUCCCCAGCUUUCAGCACAGUGCCUGGCUUGUCUGAGGCGCAUGGCCCCGGGAGAGGAGGAGAAUGGGACGGUGGUUCAGAUCUGCUGAUGUAGCUGUGGUCAGUCACUGGGGAGAAUAGGCCUGUGGAUUUCUGCUCCUCUGAGAUGGAUCCAUCACUGACUACUGAACUUGUUUUCUCAUUGGCUCAACUUAAGAAGGUUCUAGAGGUUGUAUCUGUUUGCUCGGGAUGCCAUAACAAAGGACCACAGACUGGGGGGUUUAAACAGCAGAAGUUUACUUUCUCACAGUACUGGAGGCUGGAAGUCUGAGGUCAAGGUGCUGGCGGUGUCGGUUUCUCCUGAGCCCUCUCUCUUUUGCCGUCCUCUUUCAUUCAGUCCCAAUUGUGGGAAAUGAAGUUUUACAGCCAUGGAAGGGAAGAUGAAGGGAAGAAGCGGAGAAGACAGAUUUCUAUAGAUCACAAGGCAUUUUGGAUGCCAUAAAUAUGGUGGAUACCCUGUAGUUCUGCAGUGUCUUUCUUUAGGGAAUCUCAAGUGCCUACUCUCUAAUUUAGUCCGCUGUGUGGCUGUGGUCUUUAAGUUGGAGUCUGUGGAGACAAAGAGGGAGGUCUUGCUGUGCCUGACCCUCUGGGAUGUGUUACCACCCACGCCGACCUGCUCUCUGCGGCUUUCUGACAGCACCUCACAGCCCUGGAACUGGAAAUGUGGCUCUCACUGAAGCUGCCCAGAGAGAGGGUCUCUCAGUGAAGACCCCCUGUUGUCAGCUGGGGCAGCCGGAAAGAAAGACUGGGAAUUCUCUUCACACAGGAUUUGAUAUGCUUGGUGGCUCCAGAAAAAUGCAAGUGUGCACAUUCAUCCACUUGACAAAGGGUGACUUAACUGUCAGUGUCCUGUGGAUUCAAACUGAAAGGGUUUGGGCGAAAGAAAGAAGAAGGUGGGACUGCGAAUAAAUUGAAAACAGCAUUUUGGAGGCAACAGCUGUGAAACAGAAGGGAAGGAAAAUUUAUGACCAUAUACAUUUCAGUAGGAAUUUAUAACUUUUUAUGAACAUUAUCUUAAAGUUAGUCUCUAGACAUAGGUCUAAAAAUAAAAUUAUGCUGAACUGUGUACCCAGAGAAUGGUAAAUGGGAAUAACGUUCUUGAAAGGGAUGACGUAGGUCCAGGGAAAGGUCACAUUGAAUAAUCAAGGUCGGUGAAGGUCAAAAUCACAAAGAAGGACCCUGCAUUCACUCCUGUCCUGAUGGCAGCUUCAGUGGAAACCCUUGGCCAUCGCUUUGCCUCUCCAAGCAUUCGAGAAAGACCGUCUGGUGCCAUAUUGUCUUCUGGGGACAGCUGAUCACCUGGGGAGAGCUGCAUCGUGCUCCUACCCGUGUCAGAUCUGGGCAGAGGACAGACAAAAGUCCUCUGGAGUUUUCCGCAGUGAGAGUCACAGAAGUUCAUCUAAGGAAUUGGAGCCAAGGUUAGAAACUUCUCUGGAGAUGUUCUAGUUUUGUUUGCUAGCUCGGCAGCUGCGUAAUGACACUCCCUCCAGCAGGGCACAUAGUUCACUUCAAAUGACAAAUGGUGGGACCUUAGUAUUUUUCACUGUCGGUUAAUUAUCAGAAAUAGAUUUGUUGCUAUCUAGAUACCAGCCAUUUGUCCAAAUUACUAGGAUAAGAUUCCCAAGAAAGCCUGAAAUCAGAUAGCUUUCUCCUCCUUAUUUUAAAAUAAACAGAAAUAAAAUUA